UACGGAGGGUGCAAGCGUUGUUCGGAAUUACUGGGCGUAAAGCGUACGUAGGCGGUCGAUCAGGUCCGAUGUGAAAUCCCAGGGCUUAACCCUGGACGUGCAUUGGAAACCGAUUGACUUGAGUACUGGAGGGGAUGGUGGAAUUCCCGGUGUAGAGGUGAAAUUCGUAGAUAUCGGGAGGAAGAUCAGAGGCGAAGGCGGCCAUCUGGACAGAUACUGACGCUGAGGUACGAAAGCGUGGGGAGCGAAC
This 250-nucleotide ribosomal RNA is filed under the name uncultured bacterium. Its description in RNAcentral is "partial 16S ribosomal RNA". It matches the Rfam family "Bacterial small subunit ribosomal RNA", at positions 524 to 773 of the family's 1533-position model. The record is from RNAcentral.